CCUACGGGCGUCAGCAGUGGGGAAUAUUGCACAAUGGGGGAAACCCUGAUGCAGCGACGCCGCGUGAGUGAAGAAGUAUUUCGGUAUGUAAAGCUCUAUCAGCAGGGAAGAAAUAUCGACCUUUGGGUCGCCAGACGGUACCUGAUUAAGAAGCCCCGGCUAACUACGUGCCAGCAGCCGCGGUAAUACGUCGGGGGCAAGCGUUAUCCGGAUUUACUGGGUGGAAAGGGAGCGUAGACGGCAGCGCAAGUCUGAAGUGAAAUGCCGGGGCUUAACCCCGGAACUGCUUUGGAACCUGUGCAGCUAGAGUGCAGGAGAGGUAAGUGGAAUUCCUAGUGUAGCGGUGAAAGGCGUAGAUAUUAGGAGGAACACCAGUGGCGAAGGCGGCUUACUGGACUGUAACUGACGUUGAGGCUCGAAAGCGUGGGGAGCAAACAGGAUUAGAUACCCCUGUAGUC
This 458-nucleotide ribosomal RNA is filed under the name uncultured bacterium. RNAcentral's name for it is "partial 16S ribosomal RNA". It matches the Rfam family "Bacterial small subunit ribosomal RNA", at positions 338 to 795 of the family's 1533-position model. The record is from RNAcentral.